AGCGGCGGACGGGUGAGUAACGCGUGGGUAACCUGCCCUAUACACACGGAUAACAUACCGAAAGGUAUGCUAAUACGAGAUAAUAUAAGAGAUUCGCAUGGAUUUCUCAUCAAAGCUGAGGCGGUAUAGGAUGGACCCACGUCUGAUUAGCUAGUUGGUAAGGUAACGGCUUACCAAGGCGACGAUCAGUAGCCGACCUGAGAGGGUGAUCGGCCACAUUGGAACUGAGACACGGUCCAAACUCCUACGGGAGGCAGCAGUGGGGAAUAUUGCACAAUGGGCGAAAGCCUGAUGCAGCAACGCCGCGUGAGUGAUGAAGGCCUUCGGGUCGUAAAACUCUGUCCUCAAGGAAGAUAAUGACGGUACUUGAGGAGGAAGCCCCGGCUAACUACGUGCCAGCAGCCGCGGUAAUACGUAGGGGGCUAGCGUUAUCCGGAUUUACUGGGCGUAAAGGGUGCGUAGGUGGUCUCUUAAGUCAGGAGUGAAAGGCUACGGCUUAACCGUAGUAAGCUCUUGAAACUGGGAGACUUGAGUGCAGGAGAGGAAAGUGGAAUUCCUAGUGUAGCGGUGAAAUGCGUAGAUAUUAGGAGGAACACCAGUAGCGAAGGCGGCUUUCUGGACUGUAACUGACACUGAGGCACGAAAGCGUGGGGAGCAAACAGGAUUAGAUACCCUGGUAGUCCACGCCGUAAACGAUGAGUACUAGGUGU
Molecule: ribosomal RNA, 710 nt
Filed under: uncultured bacterium
Lineage: Bacteria
Description: bacterial SSU rRNA
Rfam family: Bacterial small subunit ribosomal RNA
Source: RNAcentral